This is a non-coding RNA of Brachypodium distachyon (stiff brome), 143 nucleotides long. NCBI's taxonomy places the organism in Eukaryota, Viridiplantae, Streptophyta, Magnoliopsida, Poales, Poaceae. The record is from Rfam.
AUAGUACUUCCACCGUCCAACAAAAGAUGUCUCAACUUUGUUAAAAUUUGAAUUUAUCUAUACACUAAGUCAUGUCUAGACUCUAGAUAUAUUUAAAUUUUGACAAACUUGAGACAUCUUUUGUUGGACGGAGGGAGUAUGAA